AUUGAACGCUGGCGGCGUGCCUAACACAUGCAAGUCGAGCGGUAACAGGUGUAGCAAUACAUGCUGACGAGCGGCGAACGGGUGAGUAAUGCUUCGGAAUCUACCCAAUGGUGGGGAAUAACCAGCCGAAAGGUUGGCUAAUACCGCAUACGUCCCACGGGAGAAAGCAGGGGAUCGCAAGACCUUGCGCCAAUGGAUGAGCCGAAGUCGGAUUAGCUAGUUGGAGGGUAACGGCCUACCAAGGCGACGAUCCGUAGCUGGUCUGAGAGGACGACCAGCCACACUGGGACUGAGACACGGCCCAGACUCCUACGGGAGGCAGCAGUGGGGAAUAUUGGACAAUGGGGGAAACCCGUGAUCCAGCGGCGCCGCGUGUGUGAAGAAGGCCUGCGGGUUGU
Molecule: ribosomal RNA, 398 nt
Filed under: uncultured bacterium
Lineage: Bacteria
Description: bacterial SSU rRNA
Rfam family: Bacterial small subunit ribosomal RNA
Source: RNAcentral